Molecule: non-coding RNA, 434 nt
Organism: Pelobates cultripes (western spadefoot toad)
Lineage: Eukaryota; Metazoa; Chordata; Amphibia; Anura; Pelobatidae
Source: the annotation of a GenBank genome assembly
CUCAAGAUGGACUAACUAAUUACACCACACUAUCCUCUAAAUAUGCCCUACCUAUAACCUCCCACUUUUCCUACCUCCAACUGAAAUUGUUUCUGAACAAGAAAAUACAGGGAUGCAAACCCUCGACCCUUCCCAUGACAGAUCUAACAGUAUGGGAACAACUUUGUAUUAAUGCAAAACUCCCCCCACGAUGUAAGCCGAUCUUCAAAUGUUACCAGUUACUCCUAGACUCCACACCUUUCGCUGGGUCUGCUUCGGCCCAGAGAUGGACAAUAGACCUAAAUUGCAAUAUUCCCAUGUCACAGUGGGAUAAAAUUCAUAAUUUCCCACAGAAGUAUAUUAAGGCUUCCGCAUUACUAGAACUUCGGAAACUCCUGUACCGAUGGUACAUGGUCCCCACCAAUAUCAACAAAAUCUAUCCAAAUGCCUCACCA